RNAcentral lists this ribosomal RNA (497 nucleotides) under uncultured bacterium. RNAcentral's name for it is "partial 16S ribosomal RNA". It matches the Rfam family "Bacterial small subunit ribosomal RNA", at positions 28 to 507 of the family's 1533-position model. The record is from RNAcentral.
GAUGAACGCUGGCGGCGUGCCUAAUACAUGCAAGUCGAGCGAACAGAUGAGGAGCUUGCUCCUCUGACGCUAGCGGCGGACGGGUGAGUAACACGUGGAUAACCUACCUAUAAGACUGGGAUAACUUCGGGAAACCGGAGCUAAUACCGGAUAAUAUAUUGAACCGUAUGGUUCAAUAGUGAAAGACGGUUUUGCUGUCACUUAUAGAUGGAUCCGCGCCGCAUUAGCUAGUUGGUAAGGUAACGGCUUACUAAGGCAACGAUGCGUAGCCGACCUGAGAGGGUGAUCGGCCACACUGGAACUGAGACACGGUCCAGACUCCUACGGGAGGCAGCAGUAGGGAAUCUUCCGCAAUGGGCGAAAGCCUGACGGAGCAACGCCGCGUGAGUGAUGAAGGUCUUCGGAUCGUAAAACUCUGUUAUUAGGGAAGAACAAAUGUGUAAGUAACUAUGCACGUCUUGACGGUACCUAAUCAGAAAGCCACGGCUAACUACGUG